AACAAAAUACAUAUGCCUAGUCGUAGUAGGGAGUAUAUGUCUAUCUAUGUGGACUCGCCAGACAUGUGAAUGCUAGAUAAAACAUCUAUAAAAGCAUGCAUGUGCAAGCUGUGUGGUGUGAGUUAGCUUCCAUGGUGAAAUAUAGCAUGUAUGCGGUAGAGGGAUGUGUUGCAUGAUAGUGUUGUAGUUUGUUUCGGAUUAACAAUCCGAUAUGAGUGAGUAGCGUGAUGUGAGAGGUGCUAUAUCUCUGUGUGUGGUAUGUAGUCGCAUGAAGGUAUGUUUGCUGGGAAAGCACUAUUUUGGGGCUAAUGAUGAGACUCGUUGCUGCUCUGAGGUUAAGUGGGAAAGCAGGGUACAAGUCCACAGCGAAAAAGGGCAGUGGCACUGCUUGGUGGGUACAGUUCUGCAUGGCCUCCGUCUUCCCCAGCAGCCAUCACCUGCCAGUCUGCGGGUCCGCGUUCCACUCAGCCGAUUCCUUGGGAUGGCAGGUUCUCUAAGCAGGCUUGGGAGAUGCUGGGGUUGUCGGUGGGGAAUGCCACAGGGAGACAGAUUUUGCGUUGUGGAGGUGAGGUGGGGCGCAGGUAGUCCAUACAGCCUGGUAGACUCAGGUGGGUGGUAGUGUGUUGGAGCUCCGGUGUGGUGCUGUGGGCCAACGCGUGUGGUUGGGGUCGGAUGAUUUUACCCUGCGUCCCCGUGUGGGGCCCUGCUGCUUUCCACCCCAGGUGUUAUGGCCUUGGUAACGAGGGCAGUGAUAGGUAAGGUCCCUGGCUAAGUCCAUGAAUCGGGACAAGUCCCUUAGGGGAGUGGUGCUUGUGAGUAGUGCUGUAAUGCAUGACUCCUCGGCCCGGGUGAGUUGGGAACCUGGAGUCGGUCUUUGCCCGAUCGUUGUACCAUGCAGCGGCGGUAUCCUUCUCAUAUUUUCCUCUUUCUCCUUGCAUAAUAAUUCUGUCCAUAUCCCUUCGCCCUUUACUUGUGUCCCUCUGCCCUCUGGAUUUCCUCUCC
Pelobates cultripes (western spadefoot toad) is the source of this 1002-nucleotide non-coding RNA. Lineage: Eukaryota; Metazoa; Chordata; Amphibia; Anura; Pelobatidae. The record is from the annotation of a GenBank genome assembly.